RNAcentral lists this small RNA (272 nucleotides) under uncultured Photobacterium sp. RNAcentral's name for it is "5' ureB small RNA". It matches the Rfam family "5' ureB small RNA". Lineage: Bacteria; Pseudomonadati; Pseudomonadota; Gammaproteobacteria; Vibrionales; Vibrionaceae. The record is from RNAcentral.
CUGCUGCGGACAAAUAAAAUGAACAUGUGUAUCAACGCCACCGGCGGUAAUUAUUUGCCCUUCACCUGCAAUAACUUCAGUAUUAGGACCAAUAACAAUAUCAAUAUUCGCCUGAAUAUCCGGAUUACCUGAUUUUCCUAUACCGACAAUUCGACCGUCUUUAAUACCAAUAUCAGCUUUAACAAUUCCCCAGUGAUCAAUAAUAACCACAUUGAUAAUGACAACAUCAACACAAUGCUCACUAGUGAGUUGACUCUGCCCCAUGCCAUCAC